Molecule: non-coding RNA, 298 nt
Organism: Cinara cedri
Lineage: Eukaryota; Metazoa; Arthropoda; Insecta; Hemiptera; Aphididae
Source: the annotation of a GenBank genome assembly
UUUUUUUUUUUUUUUUUUUUUUUUUUUUUUUAUGCAAACACUUUUCUACCAGAAUGCUUACUCCAAUGUAUACAAUGUAAACCCUUUUUUGAAAUUUUCUCGGUGUGGCACUUUAGAGAGGGUUUUUUUUUUUUAUUUUCCCGGCAGUUUUCCCAAUGAAAGAGAAAAAGUGAGAAAAAAUGGGAAUACGUGUAAAUAUAUUAGUAAAAUACUAUGAUUUAUUUUUUCUGCGUACAACUUUUCUACCAGCAAUUUUGCUCCAAUUUACAAUGAUAACAUUUUUACUAAAGACAAUCCG